This is a long non-coding RNA of Nilaparvata lugens (brown planthopper), 903 nucleotides long. RefSeq lists it as uncharacterized. The transcript is spliced from 2 exons. The record is from RefSeq and is a predicted model, not a curated record. Lineage: Eukaryota; Metazoa; Arthropoda; Insecta; Hemiptera; Delphacidae.
AAUGUGAGACUAUCAGCAGUAGAUUGCUUUUAGCGAAGUGAAGUAAUAAGUUUUUAUAGAACUAGAUAAUUUGCACCACAUAUCCUGUUUCAAUAUUGAUAAGAGUGGAAGGAAUAAACACUUCAUAAUAGAACAAAUUCACACCUGGACUAAGAAUAGAGUUCGCGGGAAAUGAUUCACACCGCAUAUAUCCUGCUUUUAUUUUUAUUAGAGUGGAAGGAAUAGAGGAAACAUUGUUUUGUGUGAAUGAGAUAAUAGGAUGUUUUUCCUAAUCAUUGAAUGGAAAGGAUAUGCGGUCAAGAAGUGGAGCAAUUUUUAGAACAGGAAACCAUAAACAGCUUUACUCGCAAACUUAUUAUUUAUAAACUUUUCUCAUUGGAAAUAUACAUAUUAUCUCCUAACGAUAAAGUCGGCUUAUCCAUAAGGAAAUAUCCCACACAAUCCCGUUUUUUUUUUUUUUUUUUUGCAUGUUGGGGAGAUAAAUCUUCUUCAAUGUGUUAGAAGCUCUCACACACUCAGUAGUGAUGUCACUAUACUUAGAGUUGGAAGAACUCCUGAAUUGGUUAACAUUGAUGAUGAAGCGCUAGCUGAGAUUAAUAGUAUUGGUUUGGAGGAGUGGUUGAGGCGACUGGAUGCACCGGUCGCUUCUCCACCACCAGCAUCCCCACCAGCAGCAUCUCCACCGCCAGCCGUCCAACCACCGGCAGCAUCUCCACCACCAGCCAUCCAACCACUGGCAUCAUCCCCACCGGGACUUUAUUUGCACUGUAUUUUAUUCUAUAUUCCAUGUUUCAUAUCCAAUUAUUCUGUAUGUCUAUAUCAUUCUAUAUUCGCACUAUAUAUUUUAUUCUGUAUUUCUAUAUUCCAUGUUUCAUAUCCAAUUAUAUGAUUAUUAUUAUCCAA